Molecule: non-coding RNA, 2356 nt
Organism: Danio rerio (zebrafish)
Lineage: Eukaryota; Metazoa; Chordata; Actinopteri; Cypriniformes; Danionidae
Source: RefSeq, a predicted model, not a curated record
ACAAAAGUAAUGUGUAAGAGUUUAAGGUGCACAACUAACCAGCUUUGCACUGAACUUUAGAUCUGCUUUCAGCUGAUCAAUCGUGCAGUCUAUUUUAGUUCCUAAAAAUAGCAACACGCCAACGAUGCGCCUUAACACGCCUCAUUUGAAGACUGGCACACACAUUAGCCCACAACGUAGUGCAAAUGGAUUUGCUAUUUAAACAAUGUGAUGCAAAAUCAGAAAAUUAGGGUCGCGCUGGUCUGUAAUUAGAAACAAAUCGCGGCAAACAUGUCUUGUGUCUUGUUGCGCCGGGUGUACGAUAGGGCCCAUAGACUCGAAUUCUCAUGCAAAACAGAAAUGUACUGGAAAAAGUGCAGAACACAAUGAAAAUGUGUCGGGGGACACCAAAAAGUGACAAACUUUCUGCUUUCUGUUUACUGCACUUUGUGCAGACCACGUUUCUCUAUUUGCAUGUGUUGUGAAACUUUGCUUGUGCGUGAGUUGUCAAAUUGAUGACGUCAAGUUUGCACCAAAGUUUGCUGGGUUCACACCAAAUGUGGAAUUAAGUAUUCAAGUGAGUAAAUUGCUUACAAUUUAUUGCCACAUGGUGCAAAUGACACGGAAUGCUCAAUUGAAACAUCCCAUGAGUAAGCUUGUUAUAAGUAACAUUUAAUUAAUUACUUUUGUUGCGCACUGUAUUGUGUCUUUUCCUUUGUCCUGCCUUCUUCUCCCGUCUUCUUGUUUUUUGUUAUCCCAUAGGCUCUCAUUUUUAUGUGGUCCGGCUCUGAUUGGCUGCUGGUCAUGAAGAGCUAUAAAACAGAACUUCCGACAGAGAUCGAGGAGCUUAGUUUUGGUGCUAUGGUAGCAGACUCACCUGAGAACAGCCCGGGGCGCUGCACACGUACGGCCUUUCCUGCUCCGAGUUCAUCACUGUCACUGGCUCCUCAUACACCUGAACACAAAGCAGAAAUCAGGGGUGCCUCCAGGACUCCAAAAUAUAAAGACCCACGCUCACAUUAUGUCACUAACGCAUUGUGUGCCAGAGAUAGAAAACUCUGCGGUUCGCUCACCAUGAGAACAGGAAUCCCCCGUUCAGUGCCAUGAUGCUGCUAAAUGCCAUGGAUGACAGACUGACAAUGGAAUGGUAUGCCAACCAUUCAGUUUCAUGCAUACGAAGUGUAAUCGGGCCACUUGUCUGACAUUGCAGUUGAUGCCGACAUAGAGCCCACAACUACUGUCACCAUAAGGAGUGUUUUACAGUUCAAUUUAUAUCAGGCAUUAAUUUAGCAGGUGAUGAGGUAUAGUUUUAGGCAUCACACCACUAUAGCAUUGUGAAAACAUUAGUUUUAGCUCAAAUAGAAAAGUGUGGUACCAGUUAUGCCAAAGUUUUGGUUUGAUUUCCAAUUAAAGCAAGAACUUAAUAUGUGUAACUUCGAAGUAAUACAAGUUACCUUUGAUAAAAAUGUGUAAAUGAGGUUGACAAUGAUAGAAUACAGUGUGGCUGUUUAUUUUAAAUGAUUUAGUGGUGCACCUUAAUCCUAAAAAUGAUUUGGUCAUAUAUCAAAAUAAAAUGACUACUUCUGAAUAUGUUUAUUUUUAAGCUAAGCUAAAAAUAAAUAACUUUUUAAUGUUUCACAAUCAAAUAAUGUCUUGAUGGGUAAAAUUAUGGACAGUUUUGCAAAUAACAGGAUUCUCAGAAGUCUUUAAAUUUAUUUCUGUCAUAAACACUCUCGGGAUUUAGCAUGGUAGGGAAUAUGUAUAUGGAUAUGUUGAUGUAUAUAGUCUUGGCGGUAUAGAUCGGCUAUGCUGCUGCUGCGGCUGCUUUGAUUGGCAGAGCUAGUACCAAGACCUGCUGCUGUCAGUAUACACAGACAUGCCAUCUGAGAAUAUAACAAGCAGCUGCUGCAAACAUAAUGUAACCACCCUAGCAGAUCUUACACAGGUGGAUCUGGGGUGGAGGCGGAUCUCCGAAAAUGCGCUGCAGCUAACAGUAAAACAAUGUGGAGCAUUUAAACUGAUGAGGAGCAAGCUCACUGGCUGCCGAGGCAGCAACCAAGCAGAUUAGGUGACCUAUCAGCCUGCACAUGCAGAGUUUCAUGGCAGAGAUUUCACACAGUGGUGAACAGAAACUACAUUUUCACCUCUUAAUUUGCCCUAGUGGCAAAACAAAAUAAAAAAUUAAGCCUAAAAAGCCUAAUCUCUACACUUCAAAAAGAUUCUGCCUUAGAUUUUUUAGUUGAAUCAAAUGAACUUUUCUAGUCAUGUAAAUUUAAAUCAAUAAAACGGACAAAAAAUAUUAUAUACAACAGAGAAAAAAAUUAUUGAGUCAUUACUUGCAUGGUCAUAAGCAAACUUCCUGAUAUUUUUUGUUAUU